This 84-nucleotide transfer RNA is filed under the name Echinostoma caproni. It matches the Rfam family "tRNA". Rfam says of the family: Transfer RNA (tRNA) molecules are approximately 80 nucleotides in length. Their secondary structure includes four short double-helical elements and three loops (D, anti-codon, and T loops). Lineage: Eukaryota; Metazoa; Platyhelminthes; Trematoda; Plagiorchiida; Echinostomatidae. The record is from Rfam by way of RNAcentral.
GGCUUCGUAGCUCAGCUGGUAGAGCGUGCGCUGUACAAAUGCGUGGGCGACGUCCAUGUGUGGGUUCGAAUCCCAUCGUGGCUA